Hyla sarda is the source of this 1082-nucleotide long non-coding RNA. RefSeq lists it as uncharacterized. The transcript has 3 exons. NCBI's taxonomy places the organism in Eukaryota, Metazoa, Chordata, Amphibia, Anura, Hylidae. The record is from RefSeq and is a predicted model, not a curated record.
UCAGGUUGUAUUCAUACACCCGCCAUCUCUGGCAGCCUCUUGGGAACUGAGUCCUGAUUGUGAUUCAUGUCGUUCUCUGCUGUGGAUAUGGAUUUGCAAGGAAAAAUAUCUCCUUUAAUCCCGUCUUAGAAAGGACCGAGAAGACAAAAGAACCGGAAUCGGCCGCAGUUGUUUCCAGUUAUGGUCUCCAUCUAGGUUCAACGUGACUAUUAUCAUUGAAUGGGUUCCAUGAAAGGUUGAUACUGGAUUUAUGUCUUUGUUCAUUUACAUUUCUUCAAUGGUUUGGCUGACCUACUCGUGCCACGCCCUGGGGAUAUCCUCACGCGGCCGCUCAGAACAUAUUCCGUUCUUCGCUCAUGACAGGACGGAACGCUUUUUAAAAAAUGAUGAGAGAAGAAAAAGAAUGGUAAUUUACUUGUCAGGAACAGGCAGAACUGGUAAUUCGGUCUUGCGGAGCGCGAUUCACCCCCUUCUUGGAGGGUCUGCUCAGUGAGCUCAGCUCGAGUAAUUUCGGAGUACAUGAUGAGGAGCUGGCGGAGCAGCCGAGCCCUUCCUGAAUUCUUUAAAUAACGGGGGAACGCAGGUUCAUUUCAGCUCAAGGAUACAAAGCAUUGUGUAAUAAAGACAAUGUUAAAUGAGAGAACAUUUGGCUUAUUGCAUAUUGCACAACUUCUUCUGGCGUCCAUUGACAAUAGGCCGGUCACAAAGUACCCCCCAGGUGUCACCACCAGCGAUCAAUUCUAAUCUGCGCCAUAACCAGGCAGUAAGUGUUCAAUUUCCUUGCAAUUUCUCCUCCUGUCACCACCGCCCUAGAAGACACAGAACAUUAUCAUUUUCCAUCAACGGCGCUAUAUGAGAUCUUUUUUCGGUUCAAGUUGUAGUUUUUAUUAGUUACAUUUUGGAGCAAAUGUAAGUAUUUGAUUGCUUUUUAUUCUACAAUACCAUUCACUGUGCAUAAUUAAAAUUUGAUAACUUUAGUUUAAAGGGGUACUCUGGCGCUUAGACAUCUUAUCCCCUAUCCAAAAAGAAUAGGGGAUAAGAUGCCUGAUCGCAGGAGUCCAGCCGCUGGGGACCCCCGUGAU